ACAAAGUAGGACGCCAAAUUAACUCUACCUGCGGAAGAACGCGGAUAGAGAAAGUCUUAAUGGUAACAGAGUCAGGAUGCGUAUCCCAUCCAAAGCAAAGAGUAAACCUCACCUACGGAAACGUAGUGUUAAACGAGGGAUGUACUCAAAAGUGAACCCCACCUACGGAAGAACGUAGGUUAGACGGGGAACACAUCAGCAAGAGUAAACCUCACCUACGGAAACGUAGUGUUAGACGAGGAACACACUCAAAAGUGAACCCCACCUACGGAAGAACGUAGGUUAGACGGGGAACACAUCGCCAAAAAGUGAACCCCACCUACGGAAGAACGUAGGUUAGACGGGGGACACGUCAGCUAAACACACACCCGUUCUACAAAAAUGUAGACAGAUGGGCAAGUGUCCAAGAGUAAACCUCACCUACGAAAGAACGUAGGUUAGACGAGGGACGUACUCAAGAGUAAACCUCACCUACGGAAGAACGUAGGUUAGACGAGGGACGUACUCAAGAACAAUCCUCACCCACGGAUGAACGUAGGUAGACGAGGAGUCACAAUCAGCCCCUAUCGCAGAAAGGCGAGCAAAAGGAGGGGGCAAGUAUUCAAAUAAUAUUCCUCACCCACGGAUGAACGCGGGUAGACGAGGAAGCACAAUCAGCCCCUAUCGCGGAAAGGCGGAAAAAAGGAGGGGGCAAGUAUACAAACAACAAUCCUCACCUACGGAUGAACGUAGGUAGACGAGGAAUCACACUUAGCCUCAGUC
RNAcentral lists this long non-coding RNA (762 nucleotides) under Zostera marina. Its description in RNAcentral is "long non-coding RNA (ZMAR_LNC006125)". Lineage: Eukaryota; Viridiplantae; Streptophyta; Magnoliopsida; Alismatales; Zosteraceae. The record is from RNAcentral.